GCUUGAUUUUUGAAAACAGUGAGAAAUUUGCAGUGGAAAUUUAGCUUGAUCCAGAUUCCAGAACAAAGAAAAAGGUAAAAUAAUGAUUGCACAUUACACCAAAUAGGUUCUCCAUGAUAAAAACAAGUUUGAUUAAUGAAAAUAAAACAGCUGUUACCGUGUUGGGCGCCUCUUUCAAGUCUGUUAUACGUGACCGUGUUGAAAUAUGAUACUUUUUCUUAUACUGUCAAUAUAUUGCACUGAUACAAGAUAUUUUAGCCAUAAUGUGUGUUAUUUGAAUCCAUUUAUCAAAUUGCUUGACUAACUUGUGUUGUUUCUGAAGAUAUAUGCAAUUAAUAAUCAAUCAUUGUAUCACUGGGUCUGACAUGGAAAUAGACAAUUGUGCCAAUAAAGAUGUUGUAAAAUAUACACAAAUGUAGGCGUCACAGAAAAAAAUUAAGAUAGCCAUCAAAGUUGUCGUAUGUCAUUGUAGGAAGGCGUCCCAGAAAAAAUAAAAAACAGCCUUCCAAGUCUUGAAAGUGUCAUAAUGAUUUAGACUAGGAUCUAGCCUUGUAAGUUGGGUAAAAUUUUCUUGUUUUCAGGGUAAAACCAGUUUACAGGUGUUAAAAAAGAGUACAUAGGGACAUCUUUUUUGCUGUACAAUUUAUAGUAUGAAAUCUACAUAUUUAUCAAUGACGAGCUACAUGUACAAUCACUAAAUAUGUGAUCAGAAACAAUGUUGUAAUCAAUCAUAAAACAUAUGCAUUUUGGAAUUCAUUUAAAUUUGUCACUUUGUUCUAAAGAUUUGUUGGACUAACAUGCAUACAUUUUUUUUUUUAUAUAAAUAAGGCGGUGAAUUUUCUCGUUUGAAUUGUUUCACAUUGUCAUUUCGGGCCUUUCAUAGCUGGCUAUGCGGUAUGGGCUUUGCUCAUUGUUGAAGGCCGUACGGUUACCUAUAAAUGUUAAUUUCUGUGUCAUUUUGGUCUCUUGUAAAGAUAUGUCUCAUUGGCAAUCAUACCACAUCUUCUUUUUUAUAUGAAACAGACAGAAGAAUAUAAAAGAUAAUUGAAUGUAUUUUUAAUUUUUUUUUCCAGAGUCUUGUACAUAAAUCCACAGAUCCAAUGUGUCGGAGGUUGAGGAAAUCAUUGCAGUAACCAUGUAACAGUUAAGCAUGCACCAGCUCAAAAAUUUGGACCAAGAUUUUAAAAAGGUAAACAUCAGUUGAUCAGCUCUUUUUAUGUCCUCCUUAACUGAGUGUUAUAGUUUAACUCUUGUACUGUACGUACAUACAUGUACAUUGAACUCAAAAUUGGAUUCUGUUAUCUAAAGUUUGCCUAAACCACAUGUUAUGCAACCAAUACACAACGCUUAUUAUCAUAAAACACAGAGUUUGAAUUUGGAGAGCAUCUGCUUUACUGUUCUCUAGAUAUGUCCUUUUAAUUAAGUUUGAUAAGAUCAUUUGUGACUCAUGGACACAUUCUUCUUAUAUUAAUUUUAUUUAUCAAAUUAUAAUUUGUUGAUUUUAUAGAUUGUGUUCAUUGGCAUAUGCUAUGAGGUCUUGUUGUAUCGAUGUACAUUCUAAAUUUAUUAAGGUAGAAUCCUUUGCAUAUCUUAAAUUAAUUGAAAAAUGACAAUAUUGUGAAACCAAACUUCCUUUAUUAAUUAUUUCGACUCAUUAUUAUUUGUAGAAUAACCACUGGUUGCUCCAGAAAAUAUUAUGUCCCCUCUCCCCCAGGGAAAGCUCCUUUCUUAAAUUUUAUUUGGGGGUGGUUGUGUAUGAAAUACCAAAAUGCAAAGGGAGUGUUGUUCUUAUUAAUUUUUAAUUCUGUCGGUGCUGGGAUUUUUUUUUAAAAGGGCUUAGGGCUGUCCCUUAGGGGCGGACAUAGUAUUUUCUGGAACAGACAUAAUUUUAUUAACACAUGUUCAAUUUAACAACAAAUUUAUUUUUUAAAUAAGAACAAAGGUUAAUCAUAAGUUAUGAAUAAUUAUAUACUGUUGAAAUUGUGUUAAAUUUCUAACAUACAUCAUCAAAAAUGUGUAUAAUUGGCAAAGAUACAAACAUCUCAGUAACAACACAAAAUAAUUAUGAAUCUGCAGUUUAUUAUAGGACCAGCAAUAGAAAAAAUAUUGAUUAUGUUUAAACACAGGAUAAUUUUUAAGAACUGCUGUAAUCAUAAGUUCGGAUCAAUUUAUUUUUUUGUAUUUUAUAAUUUAUGAUUUUUUUUUUUCAGAGAUCUGAAACCAACACAAGACCAGCUGGGUCAAUAUUCCUAAUGCGCCUCCAAAUGAGUAACUAAUGCGCCAUCAAAUGAGGAACACAAAAGUUGUGUGUAAACAAAAAUUGUCUCUAGUGAUAUUGAACAUGUUUCAUUUUUAAAAAG
RNAcentral lists this long non-coding RNA (2360 nucleotides) under Mytilus galloprovincialis (Mediterranean mussel). The record is from RNAcentral. Lineage: Eukaryota; Metazoa; Mollusca; Bivalvia; Mytilida; Mytilidae.